AUGGAGGCGGGCGCGUCGUCAGGGACGGGGAGCUUUCCGGCCGAAGACGGUGAGAUUUGGGUGCCCGUGCUGUCCGAUCCUCUGGAUGGGGGCUCGAAUUCGCCGACCCAGGCGGAGAUUGAAGUCUAUUCAGCAUAUCUGGAUUAUGACGCCAUGGACUUCCAAGCAGUCUUAGAAGGACCCCAAGAUGAACAUGAUAUUGAAAAAUUGUUUGGAGGUGCAAUGUUUACUUCUUGCGGUGCACGCAGUCCUACUUAUAUAAAGGAGGCGAAUUUAACUCAUGAGAUUGAAUGUGAAUUUUAUUCACCAACUAGUGAUCAUGGCAUGAUACAAACACUUGCGCCUGCGUCACCAGAAACCAAGGAGAUAAGGGGGAGGAGGAGAUCUGCGCCGGCCACGGCGCUUCCUGAGAAAGAGGAGGCCCCUGUCACCAUGGCCCUAGGUGGAGGAGGAGAGGAGGACAAGAAGAGAAAGGGAGGAGGGAAAGGGCACCCGCUGCCUUGUCACCGGAGAAGCAUGAGGCUUGCGCUCGCCGCCACGCCGCUGGAGGAGGGGGCUUGUGCUACCUUCAUAGUAGACCUGCUAGAUUACAUGCCGAAAAGUGGUUGGAGGCACCGAAGUCGCGUGAGAAGUGCACGCAAGAGAGGAAUAUGGUCGUUAAACACGGAACAAACUUUCCUUCUGCCUAACCAUUUAGGGGACAUGAGCUCUACAUGUAAAGGCAAAAAAUGUGGGCACAGAAAAAACAAUGACCACUGGACAUACGAAGAGAUGAAAAAACUAGUGGAUGCUCUGUAUAUAUCUGGGGUUGGAAAUUGGACGAAGUUGAAACAUGAGAACUUUUCAAGAUCAGUUCGAACAUCAAUGAAUCUUAAGGAUAAAUGGAGAAAUCUUAAGAAAGCCUACACGGGAAAUGCUAAAAAAAGGAUCUUGCCGACUCUAGACAAGGAUUGUGUCGAAAAGAUCCAGAAGCUAGCCUCCAAAAUGAAGCUGCACUUGUGA
This 1002-nucleotide ribosomal RNA is filed under the name Triticum aestivum (bread wheat). RNAcentral's name for it is "partial small subunit ribosomal RNA". The record is from RNAcentral. Lineage: Eukaryota; Viridiplantae; Streptophyta; Magnoliopsida; Poales; Poaceae.